ACUAUGGCCUCAGAUAAGACGUGGUGAUGCGCUGAAUUUAAGCAUAUUACUAAGCUGAGGAAAAGAAACUAACCAGGAUUCCCUCAGUAACGACCAGUGAAGAGGGAAGAGCCCAGCGCUGAAUCCCCGUUCAGUGGCAGGCGAGGUGGGAUAUGUGGCAUACAGAGAGACCGACUCCUCGGCAUCACUCACGGGGCUAAAGUCCUUCUGAUCGAGUCUCACCCCGCAGACGGUGUUAGGCCGGUAGCAGCCUCUGGCACGCCGGAUCAGGUCUUCUUGGAGUCAGGUUGCUUGGAAAUGCAUCCAAAGCAGGUGGUGAACUCCAUCUAAGGCUAAAUACAGGCGCGAGACGAAUGGCCAACAAGUACCAUAGGGGAAAGUUGAAAAGAACUUUGAAGCGAGGGCUUGAAACCGUUGAGAGGUAAACUGGUGGGGAUUCAACACGGCAGGCAGGUCGGUCGCCUGGAACGGUGGAUGCCCUCGCGGAACUGCGGCCCGGGCAGACCCAGCCCCCGAAGGGCACAUUUCCUCUGUGGCGGUGUACCGCGACCGGCUGGGAAGGCCCCAGGGGGGCAGGUGGCUCUCGCCACCGGCAGAGAGUGUUACAGCCCCGUUCCAGCAGUUUUGCUGUGUCCACGGGAUCGAGGGAGAUUGACCGCUGCUGUGCCCUUCUCCAGCAACUGUCCUGGCCCCUGUUGGGGGUCGCCGCGGUGGCCUUCCCUCAGUGCGCCCCAACCACAUUGUGCCGCUGGGCAGGGAGGCACACAAAGGGCACCAGGGGUCUGAGGUGAUGUCGGUUAACCACUCGAUCUGUCUUGAUACACGGGCCAAGGAGUCUUAACGCACGUGUGAGUCGGAGGGCCAAAGGAAACCCUGUGGUGCAAAGAAGGUGAGGGCCGGCGUGUGCCAAUUGCAGUGGGGUCCCGUCACGGUGGGCGCACCACCCACCCGUCUCGCUAGCUCUGUCGGAAAGAUGGAGCAUGAGUGUGUGUGAUAGGACCCAAAAGAUGGUGAACUAGGCCUGGUCGAGGUCCGUAGCGGCCCUGAUGUGUAAAUCGGUCGUCCGACCUGGGUAUAGGGGCGAAAGACUAAUUGAACCAUCUAGUAGCUGGUUCUCUCUGGUGUUUCCCUCUGUAUAGCUGGCACAUGGAAACCCCAGUUUUAUCUGGUAAAGCGAAUGAUUAGAGGUCUUGGGGCCAAAAUGAUCUCAACCUAUUCUCAAACUUUAAAUGGGUAAGAAGCCCGGCUUGCUGGCGUGGAUCCGGGAAUUGAAUGCAAGUGGCCAGUGGGCAACUUUUGUUAAGCAGAACUGGCACUGCGGGAUGAACCGAAUGCUGUGUUAAGGUGCCCGAUGCCAACGCUCGUCAGACCCAGAAAAAAGUGUUGGUUGAUAUAGACCACAAGACGGUGGCCAUGGAAGUCGGAAUCUGCGGGGAGCGUUCUCUUUUCUUUGUGAAGGGCAGGGCACCCUGGAAUGGGUUCGCCCUGAGUGAGGGGCCCGAGCCUUGAAAGCGUUGCGGUUCCGACUGUGUGCGGUGAGCUCUCGCUGGUCCUUGAAAAUCCAGUGGAGAUGGGUGUAAAUCCUGCGCUGGGCCGUACCCAUAUCCUCAGCAGGUCUCUAAGGUGAACAGCUUCUGGCAUGUUAGAAAAUGUAGAACAGUGUAGGUAAGCGAAGUCGGCAAGUAAGAUGCGUAACUUCGGGAUAAGGAUUGGCUCUAAGGGCUGGGUCGGUCGGACUGGGAAGCGGGGUUGGCCUGCCUGCGGCUGGACAAGGCGUAUCACCCUCCUCCGGGGGCAGUGCCGACACUGGAUGCGAGCCGGGCCCUGCCUGUGGAUCGCCCCAGCUCCGUUGGUCGCGGAUUUGGGGCAGACGCUCUGCUUCGGCUGAAGCCUAGCAGCUGACUUAGAACUGGUGCAGACCAGGGGAAUCUGACUGUAAACAGUAUCGCGAAGGCCUGCGGUGGCUGUUGAUGCGAUGUGAUUUCUGCCCAGUGCUGUGAAUGUCAAAGUGAAGAAAUUCAAUGAAGCACGGGUAAACGGCGGGAGUAACUAUGACUCUCUCAAGGUAGUCAAAGGCCUUGUCCUCUAAUUAGUGACGUGCAUGAAUGGAUGAACGAGAUUCCCACUGUUCCUACCUACUAUUCUAGCGAAACCACAGCCAAGGGAACAGGCUUCACAGAAUCAGUGGGGAAAUGAGACCCAGUUGAGCAUGCCUCUAGUCUGGCACUGCGAAGAGACAUGUGAGGUGUAGGAUAAGUGGGAGGCCUCGGGCCGCCAGUGAAAUACCACUAAUCUUAUUGUUUUUUCACUUACCCAGUGAGGGGGGGCGAGCCCGGGCUCCUUCUGGCUCCAAGCACCCGCGUGCGUGAUCUGCUCCGGGACAGUGUCAGUUCAGUUGGGGAGUUUGACUGGGGCGGUACACCUGUCAAACAAUAACGCAGGUGUCCUAAAUCGAGCUCAGGGAGGACAAAAACCUCCCGCGAAGCAGAAGGGCAAAAGCUCACUUGAUCUCGAUUUUUCAGUAUGAAUACAGACUGUGAAAGCGAGGCCUCACGAUCCUUUUGACUUUUUGGGUUUCAAGCAGGAGGUGUCAGAAAAGUUACCACAAGGAUAACUGGCUUGUGGCGGCCAAGCGUUCAUAGCGAUGUUGCUUUUUGAUCCUUCGAUUUCAGCUCUUCCUAUCAGUGUGAAGCAGAAUUCAGAAGCAUUGGAUUGGUCACCCACUGAUAGGGAACGUGAGGUGGGUUUAGACCGUCGUGAGACAGGUUAGUUUUACUCUACUGAUGUGUUGUUGCAAUAGUAAUCCUGCUCAGUACAAGAGGAACCACAGGUUCAGACAUUUGGUGUAUGUGCUUGGCUGAGGAGCCAAUGGGGCGAAGCUACCAUCUGUGGGAUUAUGACUGAAUGCCUCCAAGUCAGAAUUCCCCCACCCCCCAAACCGUAACGAUACCCCAGCGCUGUCGAGCGUCGGUUGGCCUAGGAUAGCCGCCUCUGGGUCGGUGUGUAUAGCCGCUCGCCUCGGGACUCGAGUGUGGACAGAAGGGGGCUACCCUCUCUCCCGUAGUCUACUGCAUGUUC
RNAcentral lists this ribosomal RNA (3078 nucleotides) under Ambystoma mexicanum (axolotl). Its description in RNAcentral is "eukaryotic LSU rRNA". It matches the Rfam family "Eukaryotic large subunit ribosomal RNA". The record is from RNAcentral. Lineage: Eukaryota; Metazoa; Chordata; Amphibia; Caudata; Ambystomatidae.